GACGAACGCUGGCGGCGUGCUUAACACAUGCAAGUGGUGCGACGAACCGGACUUCGGUCCGGGGCCAAGCCGCGAACGGGUGAGUAACACGUGGGUAACCUGCCCCGAUGACCGGGAUAACCCGAGGAAACUCGAGCUAAUACCGGAUGUGCUCUCCCCACAUCAGUGGGGCGAGUAAAGGAAGCUUCGGCCUCCGCAUUGGGAUGGGCCCGCGGCCCAUUAGCUUGUUGGUGAGGUAAAAGCUCACCAAGGCGACGAUGGGUAGCUGGUCUGAGAGGACGAUCAGCCACACUGGGACUGAGACACGGCCCAGACUCCUACGGGAGGCAGCAGUGGGGAAUCUUGCGCAAUGCGCGAAAGCGUGACGCAGCAACGCCGCGUGAGGGAAGACGGCCU
Molecule: ribosomal RNA, 396 nt
Filed under: uncultured bacterium
Lineage: Bacteria
Description: bacterial SSU rRNA
Rfam family: Bacterial small subunit ribosomal RNA
Source: RNAcentral